Molecule: ribosomal RNA, 1436 nt
Filed under: Pascua guehoae
Lineage: Eukaryota; Fungi; Basidiomycota; Tremellomycetes; Trichosporonales; Trichosporonaceae
Description: small subunit ribosomal RNA
Rfam family: Bacterial small subunit ribosomal RNA
Source: RNAcentral
UUUAAUGAGUAUUUGAUUAUGGUACAUCCAUAUGGGUAUCUAGGUAUUUAACACAUGCAAGUUGUAUGAUUAAUAAAUUAAUCAUAGCGUAUAGGUCAGUAAUAAUUGGGAAGAUACCUAAGAGAUCAUUUAAAUAAUGAAUAUCAAAAGGGAAAGUAACGUAUUAAAUCCGAAAUAUGUCCCGCUCUUAGAAUUGCUCAAUUCCUAAUAAGUAGUUGGUGAGGUUGUGCUUAACAAGCUUAUGAUGGGUAAUGUAGAAUGAGAGUUCUUAACAUGACAUUGGAAAUGAAAAAGUCCAACGUGUCAAUUGACGCGCAGCAGUGGAGAAUAUUGGUCAAUGCACUAAAGUGUGAACCAGUGACCUAGAUUCGAUUUUUAAGACAAUUGAAAAUCGAUAAAAAACUGUAAAUGAUGAUUAUAGUUUUAUUAGUCCUGUCUAAUAUCUGUGCCAGCAGAAGCGGUUAUACAGAAGGGGCAACCCAUUGGAGAUUUGAAUUGGUGUAAAGGGUACGUAGCUGGUUUUCUUACUAAGAAAACUUGAAUUUAAUAGGAGUAACUAUAAUACCUAGAGUAGAUCUGAUAUGUGUUAAUACUAGGGGGAGUGCGAAAGGCGAAGGCAAGUUACUAAAUAUAAAUUGACGGUAAGGUACGUAAGUUAGGGCAUAGACAGAGAUUAGAUACCUCUUUAUUCCUAACCGUAAACGAUGCAAACUACGGAUUAGUUUAUAUAAAUUAAUCUGUAUUAUAACUAGUUAAGUUUGCCACCUGUAGAGUAUUGUCGCAAGGCUGAAAUACAAAUAAUUAGACGGCUUUAAAGCAAACGGAGUGGAGCAUGUUAUUUAAUUCGAUAAUCCGCGAAAAAUCUUACCACAUCUUGCAUACAAAAAUUUAUCCUUAAUGGAGUUUUGUACAGGUAUUGCAUGGUUGUCGUCUGUUAGUGCUCGUGAGGCAUAAGGUUAAUUCCGUUUAACUAACGCAAUCCACUACGCAAAUUUAUUUACUUUGCGUCAUAAUAAAUUUUCGAAAGAAAAAGGUUAUAGUGGGCUAUGACAAAUCCUCAUGAUCCUGAUGCUGUGGGCUAUAGACGUGCUACAAGAAUAUCUAACAAUAUGAAGCAAUCUCGAAAGAAGGAGCUAAACAUCAAUCGAUAUUAAUUACAAAUUGCAGACUGGAACUCGUCUGCAUGAAGUAGGAAUUUCGAGUAAUCGCGAAUUAGUAUGUCGCGGUGAAGCUAAUCUUUAAAGUGUACUAACUGCUCAUCACAGGAUGAUAGAUCACUUGUGAGGAAGUGAUAGAAUUUUAUAUAAUUAUAUAUAGCUUAGGCUCUCUUAUUAAGAGUAAUAUUUAUAAAAAAUGGUUACGAAUUGUAAUGAUUGAUUGUUCUGAAGUUGAAACAGGGUUAUGGUAGAUGAAUCUGCUGUAGUAUUAUAACUAAA